GUAAUGUUUUAUUUUAUACAUGAUAAAUUGAUAUUGGAAACAAACAUUCGAUAAACAAUUGCUGUACGUUAUAAAUUAUGAUGACUUACCAAGUAGACGAGUGAAAUACAUGUUUGCUUCGUAAUAAAACUGUAUAUUUUUUAUGUGUUUUCACGUUACAUAGUCAUGUUUGUCGUAUGUUGUUGAUUCAGUUGUCAAUAAAACAUGAAUAAUUUUGUUGCCGUAUUAAUUUUUCUGAUUUCAUAAUAAAAUAUUUAAAACAAACCAUAAAGAGAUAAGGUAGGUGUUCAUAAAUUAUUACUUUUUAAUUUUUAGCAAUAAUAAGUUAUUACCUAAUAGAAAAACCGAUACUGUAUUAGUGUUUACAUAAAAAUUGUACUUAAUUAUUAAUGGAUUUACUUUGGUUUAAAUCGUCAAUAUGUAACUACCAAAUAAAUUGCAAAAUAUUUUAAAUAGGUGGGUGGGUACUUAAUUACAACUCUCAACCUCGUCUAUUAGAUACCUAUGUCACUGCUUACUGUCAUUACUCGUCUUGUCCUGUUAACCUCUUAUCCUAUUUCUCCAACUCAUAUUAUAUAGUACAUAAUAUUUGCAAAUAUUAUAAACAUUAACAAACAAGAUAAGAGCAAUCGUUAGUCAUUUUAAUCGAAGUUCGUCAGCACAGCAUGAAUUAGAUAAGAAACGAGAAAAAUGUAUCGAAAGUAAAAAUAAACUAAUCCAAAACUGUGUAGCUAGGUGGAAUUCUGCGAGUAUAAUGAUUAAUAAAUGUAUUUUACGACACCGAGUUUCAAUUAAUAACGUAAUAUUCAAAAAUAGAAAAAUGGAUACAUGGUUUAUAAUUAUCAUGUCUGAUGAAUGUAAACGUGUUAGAACCGUUUCAAUCAAUUACCUACUGAAACAUUGGGAGGUGAAAAAAAAUUUGUAAUUGAGUCAAUUGUCAAUCAGUUAACAAAGUCUUUGAAAUUGCAUGCAAGAAAAAGACAAUUUACAAUCUCAAACGAUUUGAAGAAAAAAUCAGAUGUGCAUUAGCAUAUCAAAAGCUUCAGGUCCAGUGUUGAAUUCAGACAAUUUUUCUAGGAGGGGCAUUAAUAAAAUUAUAGUUAUGAACUUUUUUUUGUGCUUAUCUACCCUCUUACUAAGACCAGUAAAAUUUGUUUAAUUAUUAAUUUACCUAUAUUUAACAGGGAGGGCAAAAAAAAUUCUCCCAUCAUCCUGAGAUAUACCUGGGUUCAAAAUUGUUCAGCUCUUAAUCCUAGAUAAUAUAGUACGAAUUUCAAUUUUCAUCGGAUGACCAAAAAACUUCAACAGGGAACAGUUAGAAAAUGAAUUUAAAGAAUACGAAGUGAUUCCAAUAACAGAAAUAAAUUCAGAUGAAGAAGAACCAAUUGAAACACCUACAAAAGAAUACAAUCUCUUAUAGCCGACAGUGAAGAAAAAAAAGAAAACGAAGGAAAUUAACUACAUACUUCUAUAUUUAUAAAAGUAUGACAGAUAAAAUAGGUCAUAAUCAAGAUCCAUUAUUAUGAUGGAUAUACAAUGAGAAAAAUGUCCUAUAGUUUCACAGAUGGCAAACAAAUAUUUAAGUGUAAUAGCAACAAGUGUUCCUUGUGAACGUUUGUUUAGUUAAGCUGGUUAAGAUGUUACCAAACGAAGAAAUCGGUUAUCAUCAGACAGAGUCAAUUAACAACUUUUUUGAGUUCAUACUUAAAUGAAAAACCAGAUAACCAGAUAACAUAAUGGUAUAAAAAAACUAUUAAUAAUAAUAUAUUUUAGCUAAAUUCUUAUUAAUUUAUGCAUAUUUUCAGGAAGCAAUUAUAAAAAACUCAAAGGUAUCUAUGAUAGAUUCAAGAUUGGUAGAUGAAAAAUAAAUAAUGUACCUG
This 1880-nucleotide long non-coding RNA is filed under the name Cinara cedri. The record is from RNAcentral. Lineage: Eukaryota; Metazoa; Arthropoda; Insecta; Hemiptera; Aphididae.